UACGAAGGGGGCUAGCGUUGUUCGGAAUCACUGGGCGUAAAGGGCGCGUAGGCGGCCGAUCAAGUCGGGGGUGAAAGCCUGUGGCUCAACCACAGAAUUGCCUUCGAUACUGUUUGGCUUGAGACCGGAAGAGGUUAGUGGAACUGCGAGUGUAGAGGUGAAAUUCGUAGAUAUUCGCAAGAACACCAGUGGCGAAGGCGGCUGACUGGUCCGGUUCUGACGCUGAGGCGCGAAAGCUAGGGGAGCAAACGGG
This 253-nucleotide ribosomal RNA is filed under the name uncultured bacterium. RNAcentral describes it as "partial 16S ribosomal RNA". It matches the Rfam family "Bacterial small subunit ribosomal RNA", at positions 524 to 776 of the family's 1533-position model. The record is from RNAcentral.